GGCGAUGUUUCAUUCAAAUUUCUGCCCUAUCAACUUUCGACGGUAGGGUAGUGGCCUACCGUGGUGGUAACGGGUGACGGAGGAUUAGGGUUCGAUUCCGGAGAGGGAGCCUGAGAAACGGCUACCACAUCCAAGGAAGGCAGCAGGCGCGCAAAUUACCCAAAUCCCAACUCGGGGAGGUAGUGACAAGAAAUAACGAUGCUCCGGCCACUGGUCGGGCAAUCGGAAUGAGAACAAUUUAAAUCCCUUAUCGAGGAUCAAUUGGAGGGCAAGUCUGGUGCCAGCAGCCGCGGUAAUUCCAGCUCCAAUAGCGUAUAUUUAAGUUGCUGCGGUUAAAAAGCUCGUAGUCGGAAUUUCGGGUGGCGCCUACCGGUCCGCCUUUGGUGAGUACUGGUAGGCGCCACCUUUCUGCCGAGGACGGGGUACUGGGCUUAGUUGUCUGGACCCCGGAGUCGGCGAUGUCACUUUGAGUAAAUUAGGGUGUUCAAAGCAGGCUUAUGCUCUGUAUACACUAGCAUGGGAUGACACGAUAGGACUUCGGUUUAUCUUGUCGGUCUGUAAAUCGGAGUAAUGAUUAAGAGGGACAGUCGGGGGCAUUCGUAUUUCGUAGUCAGAGGUGAAAUUCUUGGAUUUACGGAAGACGAACUUCUGCGAAAGCAUUUGCCAAGGAUGUUUUCAUUGAUCAAGAACGAAAGUCGGGGGCUCGAAGACGAUUAGAUACCGUCGUAGUCUCGACCAUAAACGAUGCCGAC
Molecule: ribosomal RNA, 752 nt
Filed under: Trentepohliaceae sp. Kukwa 19372
Lineage: Eukaryota; Viridiplantae; Chlorophyta; Ulvophyceae; Trentepohliales; Trentepohliaceae
Description: SSU rRNA
Rfam family: Eukaryotic small subunit ribosomal RNA
Source: RNAcentral